AUUGAACGCUGGCGGCAGGCCUAACACAUGCAAGUCGAACGGCAACACAGUAAGAGCUUCCUCUUACGGGUGGCGAGUGGCGGACGUGUGAGGAAUCUAUCGGACUGUCCGUUUUCGUGGGGGAUAACGUAGGGAAAGUUACGAUAAUACCGCAAACUCCCUACGGGUGAAAGCAGGGGCUCUUCGGACCUUGCGCGAUUGAAUGAGCAGAUGUCGGAUUAGCUAGUUGGCGGGGUAAAGGCCCACCAAGGCGACGAUCCGUAGCUGGUCUGAGAGGAUGAUCAGCCACACUGGAACUGAGACACGGUCCAGACUCCUACGGGAGGCAGCAGUGGGGAAUAUUGGACAAUGGGCGCAAGCCUGAUCCAGCCAUGCCGCGUGUAUGAAGAAGGCCUUCGGGUUGUAAAGUACUUUUGUUGGGAAAGAAAAGCAUCAGGUUAAUACCCCGGUGUACUGACGGUACCCAAAGAAUAAGCACCGGCUAACUUCGUG
Molecule: ribosomal RNA, 492 nt
Filed under: uncultured bacterium
Lineage: Bacteria
Description: partial 16S ribosomal RNA
Rfam family: Bacterial small subunit ribosomal RNA
Source: RNAcentral